This 500-nucleotide ribosomal RNA is filed under the name uncultured bacterium. Its description in RNAcentral is "partial 16S ribosomal RNA". It matches the Rfam family "Bacterial small subunit ribosomal RNA", at positions 30 to 523 of the family's 1533-position model. The record is from RNAcentral.
AUUGAACGCUGGCGGCAGGCCUAACACAUGCAAGUCGAGCGGAUGACGGGAGCUUGCUCCUUGAUUCAGCGGCGGACGGGUGAGUAAUGCCUAGGAAUCUGCCUGGUAGUGGGGGACAACGUUUCGAAAGGAACGCUAAUACCGCAUACGUCCUACGGGAGAAAGCAGGGGACCUUCGGGCCUUGCGCUAUCAGAUGAGCCUAGGUCGGAUUAGCUAGUUGGUGGGGUAAUGGCUCACCAAGGCGACGAUCCGUAACUGGUCUGAGAGGAUGAUCAGUCACACUGGAACUGAGACACGGGCGAGACUCCGACGGGAGGCAGCAGUGGGGAAUAUUGGACAAUGGGCGAAAGCCUGAUCCAGCCAUGCCGCGUGUGUGAAGAAGGUCUUCGGAUUGUAAAGCACUUUAAGUUGGGAGGAAGGGCAGUAAGCUAAUACCUUGCUGUUUUGACGUUACCGACAGAAUAAGCACCGGCUAACUCUGUGCCAGCAGCCGCCGUAA